AAUCAACGCUGGCGGCGUGCCUCAGACAUGCAAGUCGAACGAUUAAAGCUCUCUUCGGAGAGUGUAUAGAGUGGCGCACGGGUGAGUAACACGUAAGUAAUCUACCCUCGAGUGGGGAAUAACGUCCGGAAACGGACGCUAAUACCGCAUAAUGCAGCGGCACCGCAAGGUGACAGUUGUUAAAGGAGAAAUUCGCUUGAGGAGGAGCUUGCGGCAGAUUAGCUUGUUGGUAAGGUAACGGCUUACCAAGGCUACGAUCUGUAACCGGUCUUAGAGGACGGUCGGUCACACUGACACUGAAUAACGGGUCAGACUCCUACGGGAGGCAGCAGUCGGGAAUUUUGGGCAAUGGGCGAAAGCCUGACCCAGCAACGCCGCGUGAAGGAUGAAGUAUUUCGGUAUGUAAACUUCGAAAGAAUAGGAAGAAUAAAUGACGGUACUAUUUAUAAGGUCCGG
RNAcentral lists this ribosomal RNA (456 nucleotides) under uncultured bacterium. RNAcentral's name for it is "bacterial SSU rRNA". It matches the Rfam family "Bacterial small subunit ribosomal RNA", at positions 32 to 496 of the family's 1533-position model. The record is from RNAcentral.